Small nuclear RNA from Heterocephalus glaber (naked mole-rat), 107 nucleotides. The record is from Ensembl. NCBI's taxonomy places the organism in Eukaryota, Metazoa, Chordata, Mammalia, Rodentia, Bathyergidae.
GUGCUUUCUUUGGCAGCACAUAUACUAAAAUUUGAAUGAUACAAAGAACAUUAUCAUGGCCCCUGCACAAACAUGGCACACAAAUUCAUGAAGCGUUUAUGCAUUUU